AACGAACGCUGGCGGCAUGCCUAACACAUGCAAGUCGAACGAGACCUUCGGGUCUAGUGGCGCACGGGUGCGUAACGCGUGGGAACCUGCCCUUAGGUUCGGAAUAACUCCCCGAAAGGGGUGCUAAUACUGGAUAAUGUCUUCGGACCAAAGAUUUAUCGCCUUUGGAUGGGCCCGCGUUGGAUUAGCUAGUUGGUAGGGUAAAAGCCUACCAAGGCGACGAUCCAUAGCUGGUCUGAGAGGAUGAUCAGCCACACUGGGACUGAGACAUGGCCCAGACUCCUACGGGAGGCAGCAGUGGGGAAUAUUGGACAAUGGGCGAAAGCCUGAUCCAGCAAUGCCGCGUGAGUGAUGAAGGCCUUAGGGUUGUAAAGCUCUUUUACCCGGGAUGAUAAUGACAGUACCGGGAGAAUAAGCUCCGGCUAACUCCGUG
Molecule: ribosomal RNA, 433 nt
Filed under: uncultured bacterium
Lineage: Bacteria
Description: partial 16S ribosomal RNA
Rfam family: Bacterial small subunit ribosomal RNA
Source: RNAcentral